GCUGAACUCAAAGCAACUUCUGAAAACAAACACUCGGAUUAUAGUGAUAUUAUGUCUGAUCUUGCAAACAAUGUAAAAUAUGUAUAGAUGGAUGUAAUUUAGAGUCGAUUGUGUUGAUGUUUAAUCUGAGGGUAUCCUGCUAUUGACAUCUUUUUUGUUGAAUUAUGCAACAGAACGUGACAACAACAGUAAUUAAUGAGGCAGUCUAGACAGAGCAGGUGAGUCCAGGUAGGCCUAGACAGAGCAGGUGAGUCCAGGUAGGCCUAGACAGAGCAGGUGAGUCCAGGUAGGCCUAGACAGAGCAGGUGAGUCCAGGUAGGCCUAGACAGAGCAGGUGAGUCCAGGUAGGCCUAGACAGAGCAGGUGAGUCCAGGUAGGCCUAGACAGAGCAG
Molecule: long non-coding RNA, 392 nt
Filed under: Salmo salar (Atlantic salmon)
Lineage: Eukaryota; Metazoa; Chordata; Actinopteri; Salmoniformes; Salmonidae
Description: lncRNA (ENSSSAG00000089343.1)
Source: RNAcentral